Molecule: long non-coding RNA, 514 nt
Organism: Bos taurus (domestic cattle)
Lineage: Eukaryota; Metazoa; Chordata; Mammalia; Artiodactyla; Bovidae
Source: Ensembl
CCACUAAUUCUUGCCUGGAGAAUCCCCAUGGACAGAGGAGCCUGGUGGGCGACAGUCCAUGGGGUCGCAGAAUCGGACACGACUGUGAUGGCUUAGCAGACACACAAGGCCAGAGGCGAGGAGAACUCCACUUUCACUGCAUAGAUAUUUUGGGGUGUCUGCCCUGAGGUACUGGUGUCUCCUCAGACCUGGGCCCCGGCUGGGUCCCCAAGUCCUUGGAGUGUCCCAGCUGUCCCGCACCCCCGCAUUGGCAGACCGGCUCUGAUAACCACUUGCUGGCUGUAUCUUGACAGCGACCUGAAGAGAUAACCUGCUUCCUCCCAUUUUAUCAUCAGUGACAGCAAGCAGGCAAGAUUUCAGCAGACGUGGGAGUUGAAGAGUUUUCUCCCAUGGCUGGGACUCCAGGGGCACAGAUGAAAGCAGCAGAGACGGCUCGCUGCCCAACUCUGUGACGGGCAUGCACAUCUUCCUCAUGGCCACAUGGUGGUGCCCACGGACGCAAUUCCCUAGAGGG